This 75-nucleotide transfer RNA is filed under the name candidate division Kazan bacterium. RNAcentral describes it as "tRNA-Thr". It matches the Rfam family "tRNA". From Rfam's summary of the family: Transfer RNA (tRNA) molecules are approximately 80 nucleotides in length. RNAcentral also lists the same sequence under 1 other name. The record is from RNAcentral.
GCCGAAGUAGCUCAAUGGUAGAGCAACCGCUUUGUAAGCGGUAGGUUGGGGGUUCGAAUCCUCUCUUCGGCUCCA